CCUACACCCCCAUCUCCCCCCACCCCACCCCCACCCGCUCCAUAAUUAUUAUGUUCAAUUUUCAUCAAUGAACGGUGCAAAUUCUUUUAAUACAGCAGAGAACAGAGACGUCACUCAAUCCUCUCUGUAACCCGGGCCACUGCACAUGUACACAUGCUCGGCUGACGAUUAGCUCUGUCGUAUCUGAGGCCAGAUAUCGAGUUUAGUACCUGGUAUCAGCUAUGUGGAGAGAAGAUACUUCAUGGCUGUUAAUGAAUCACUACAAAGUAAUCAAAUCAAGAGGGUUUCAUAAAGUAAACUUGAGUGCAGAGCUCAAACAAGUUGUAUGUCAGCUGACCUUUACGUGCUAUAUUAAAAUGCAAGGAUGAUUAUUAUUACCAGU
This is a long non-coding RNA of Callorhinchus milii (elephant shark), 382 nucleotides long. RefSeq lists it as uncharacterized. NCBI's taxonomy places the organism in Eukaryota, Metazoa, Chordata, Chondrichthyes, Chimaeriformes, Callorhinchidae. The transcript is spliced from 2 exons. The record is from RefSeq and is a predicted model, not a curated record.